RNAcentral lists this ribosomal RNA (371 nucleotides) under uncultured organism. RNAcentral's name for it is "partial 16S ribosomal RNA". It matches the Rfam family "Bacterial small subunit ribosomal RNA", at positions 527 to 896 of the family's 1533-position model. The record is from RNAcentral.
GUAGGUGGCAAGCGUUCGUCCGGAAUUAUUGGGCGUAAAGCGCGCGCAGGCGGUUUUUUAAGUCUGAUGUGAAAGCCCACGGCUCAACCGUGGAGGGUCAUUGGAAACUGGAGAACUUGAGUACAGAAGAGGAAAGCGGAAUUCCACGUGUAGCGGUGAAAUGCGUAGAGAUGUGGAGGAACACCAGUGGCGAAGGCGGCUUUCUGGUCUGUAACUGACGCUGAGGCGCGAAAGCGUGGGGAGCAAACAGGGAUUAGAUACCCUGGUAGUCCACGCCGUAAACGAUGAGUGCUAAGUGUUAGGGGGUUCCCGCCCCUUAGUGCUGCAGCUAACGCAUUAAGCACUCGCCUGGGGAUACGGCCGCAAGGCUG